This is a long non-coding RNA of Zonotrichia albicollis (white-throated sparrow), 3673 nucleotides long. RefSeq lists it as uncharacterized. Lineage: Eukaryota; Metazoa; Chordata; Aves; Passeriformes; Passerellidae. The record is from RefSeq and is a predicted model, not a curated record.
UAGAUGGCCAUCUAUGCAGAGGAAGAAUAAAGUUCUUCCAGAAGAUACUGGCAAGACACGUAGGUGGAACGUGACCACAACAACGUGCCAAGAAGGCUCCCGCUAUAACGAAUGAACACAUAAGCGUUUCUCAUGUCUCCUCCAGCUUCUUUCCCGGCAGGUCCCAGCAGCAGCCGCAGCACAGCACUGCGUCGGCUCCCUUGGAAAAAACCUCAGAGACAAAUAAGUUUCUACAAGAUCUGCAAACUGAAAUGGAGUGAAGCCUCGGAACGAGGCCAAACAAAGAAAAUGGGUCGUUAUUAAUCCACUCUAAGGCGGAGACACACACACCCACACUCACACCCACAUACCCCAGCGAAAUUGGAAAGAGGUAAGGUGAGAAUAUUCCCCUGAUAGCAGAAGAAAAGGGUAAAUGAAAGCAAAACGGAGGUACUUGGAGAAAAGAGGUUUGAGCUUCUCCUGGCAGCAGAACCCCCAUCUCUCCGUGACGGAAGCACCGAGGAGCCGAAGCAGAGUUGUAAGGUUAAAAUGGAAGAAGGAAGAGCAGCCUCCCACUUCCUGCCUGAUUCUAGGAAUAUAGAUCUGAAACAGCUGACAUGCUGAUUUCUCCAGAACAGCAAACACAACCAGUCCAUGGAACUAAUUAUUUUAAUGCAUUUGAAAUCCUUGAAGAUUUGGAAUAUUUUCUUCCAAGAAACAUGCAACUUUCUCUUCACAGGUCAACUGAGUUUCUGCAAAAUAUGUGCUGUUUUGAAGCCCUUUUUCUUCAAGAGAUGCUGAGAUCUGUGGUGUCACAAACCUGUUUCCCCAGCUGCUCACCUGGAGCUGCCUCUGGCCACUUGCCUCAGUGGACCUGCCUGAUGUGCCAGUGGGAGUGAUCACUUUUGGAAGCCAUCAGUAACUGUUGCUAUAUCUGCAUUGUUCUGCAGCCAGUGCCAGGUUUGUGGCCAGCUGGAAAAACCAGUAACAUCCUCUGCUGCAGCUGGACUGCUGUUCAUUCAAGUGCUGCUCUGGAAUGGAUACCCAAUGUUAGCAGCUGGAUUGUGAACCUCUGUUUAAUAAUGGAGGGAAUGUUAAGUGUGUGUUUUUUAGAAAAUAACUCAAUAGGCUUGGACCUUUUUGUUUAAUCUUAUGCUCUCUUUGCAAGAAAAAGAAUUUUAAAAGUUGAAAAGUCUGUUGAAUUUCUGAAAGUUUAUUACUUGAUAGCAAAGACCCCUUUUAAUCUGAAAAUAGGGAAGAAGAGAGAUCUUAAUGCACAUGCAGUGCUAUAAUGCCUAUGUCUUGAAAUAUGACAUUUUCUUAUAUAAAUGGAAGAUUUGUUGUUUUGCAGCUGUUGCUGUUGAUUGACUUAGCAGUUUUUUUGGGUGGGAACUAUCCAUUUCAGUGUGGAAUCUGGGACACACUGACAAAAUAUUGGUAAUUAUGCAAAUUACUUUUUUUUUCUGAGGCAAGAAAAAUGAGCUGCAGCAACAGGAAACUCCAAUAGUGCCGCCAAGAAAGCACAUAGAUCCUUGCAGAUGACAAAUUAAAAAAAAAAAAAAAAAACAAAAAUAAAAAAUUGUAUUUCUGUGAUUAAAAAAUUCACACAAAUUCUAUUUUUGGAAGCUGUUAGCCAGCUUUGAUGCAAGAAAAGGAAUCUUUCUUACCAGCUUUUUAUGUCUUCACAGCAUGCAUUCCAGAAGGUCUAAUAUAUAUGACCUGAAACAGAGUUGAAGAGAAGUGCUGGAGCCUAAGGCUUCACCAAUGAAACUGACAAGCAGGUUCACCAGAAGACAGCUGGAAUUGACAAACGAAUUGACUUUUUAGUGAGUUUUCCUCUAAGAAGCACUCUAAGAGUUGACAUGGACUAUGGUUCAGGACAUUUACACCAGCAGUAAAUUCAGUAGUGAAUUUAGUUUGUUGAUAAUAAUGUUCAGUUUGGAGAUCAGCUCCAAAUCCAUCAUUUUCUCAUUUGCCACUAUAGGAAAGUAGAUAAACUUGAUACACUUUAUGUUGUGCAAAUAGUAAAAAUCUUAAAGACUUCCUUAAUUGAUGGCCUAAAAGCUAUGAAGAAAACUUUUACAUUAUAAUUCCUCUCUUACAUUAUAAUAACAGGAAGUCAAAAAAACCAAUGUCAGAUUUGGAUUUCAUGAACUGAUUUUCCCCAGCCAUAUUACAUAAAUUUGAAUUUGUUUUUCCAGCUCCUCGAGCAUGAUAUCUCUUUGGAUAACUUUAAGUGUUAUGAAAUACAGAAGGGACUCAGGAGAAAUCUAUAGGCCAAGUUCUGCCGUGAGGUAUGGUGAUGUGAGAACCGUUUCUUAAAGUGUCUGGAUCCCAGCUCAGUGGGGAUUCAGAAGGGCUUGGAUGGCUUUACUGCUACUGAAGAUUGUCUCCUUUUGCUCCUGUAAAACCAUUAUAAGGUGUUAUUGUUUAACAGCAUCCCAAAUGCCUGGGAGUAAAUGUUGCAAAUACUGGGAGCAUACACAUAAUUUUUCUUACCUUGUGUGCCUUUGUCUUCUGCGGCUGUAUCCAGGUCUUUAAGUACUCUCUAUAGUCUUUUUUCUUUUUUUCAUGAGAGAGAAUCCUAAAUCCUUCUCCUACCCUUUGACUUAUAAAAGUACUACAGAGGUGAAUAUUUUGCUUUCAUUUCAUUUAAGAGGAAAAGUUCUUUGUCUGCAUUUUGCACUAUGAAAUUUUUUGACCUCAAAGCAAGAGAUCAGGCAAGCACAUGUAAAACAUACUGAUGCUCUAUAAAACACAAAGAGAAAAGAGUGACAAAUGGAGAUCUGAUUAGCCAAAAUGAAAUAAUGUGUGGUUUUCUUGGGGAAAUAAUAGUGAGCACUGUCUGCAUAAUUAUUAGGAGAAUUAAAGAAAAAAAAAAUUUUAUAUAUAUACUUUGUUCCAGUAUAGCUGUAUAUACUUUAUAUCCAGUAUAGAUAUUUGCCAUAGGAAUACUUAGAACAUACUGGUUGAAUACACAUUCUGAUCCUCAGCAACUAUGUGCAUUAAGAGUUGGUGGCUUUCUGCAAAUAAACCCAUUAACAAAAUAAAUCCAUGUUUACUAGCUACAGUGUACCUAUUUUAUAUGAACAGAUCUCUUAACUGUCCUAUUUAUGCAAUGUGUGCUAUUAAUUAAAAAAAAGGCAGUGCAUACAUGCUGGUUUAUGGCACAUGGCUUGAGAGCAGCACAUUUAUCAUGUCACUAGAUGAUCAGCUGCCCAAAAUUUGCCCACAUCCUCUUAUCUGCUUAUGUGUCAACAAUAUGCUUAUCCUGGUUGUCUAGAGUUCAAUGAAAUCAGUCAAGUUUCCAGGGAGUAUGGCACAGUAUGUCUGCUAUGAGAAGACUGAAAGGGAAUUUGGGUACAGUGAAAGGAGGUGAAUGAAUACUUUUAAACUUUCUAAGACAUUCAAGCGUUCAAGCCUUUUAAUGUCAACAAAAUACCCUAAUUACUUAAACAAAAGGACCUGGAGAUAAGAGAAGAACUCAGACGCUGGGUAGCAUCUAAAACAUGGAGCUGCCUAACAAGGUUAAUAUUUUUUAUGUGUGCUCCAUCUUACUCAGUAUAAAUAUCUUAUCUAUAGUAAUAUUGUUUGUCACAAAACUAAUGAACCUGUUAAAACUCAGGAAAACCAUGUGAUACAUGGAACUGCUAAGACAUAUUUAAUAAAACCUGUACAUUCCAAUAAUGAGAAA